This is a long non-coding RNA of Dreissena polymorpha, 3767 nucleotides long. RefSeq lists it as uncharacterized. Lineage: Eukaryota; Metazoa; Mollusca; Bivalvia; Myida; Dreissenidae. The record is from RefSeq and is a predicted model, not a curated record. The transcript is spliced from 3 exons.
UCUGGAGCGCCUUUUAUCAGUUAUUCGUUUUUGGACUUCAGUUUUCUGUAUAAUAUUUAUUUGAACAAAUCUUCUUAAAUGCUGGUUUAAAUAUUUUUAUGUCUCCCUUCAAAGAAGAGGGGGAAUAUUGUUUUUCACAUGUCGGUUGGUCUGUCCACCAGAUGGUUUCGGGAUGAUAACUCAAGAAUGCUUAUGCCUAGGAUCAUGAAACUUCAUAGGCACAUUGAUCAUGACUGGCAGAUGACCCCUAUUGAUUUUCAGGUCACUAGGUCAAAGGUCAAGGUCACAGUGACUUGAAACAGUUAAAUGGUUUCCGGAUGAUAGCUCAAGAAUGCUUAGGCCUAGAAUCAUGAAACUUCAUUGGUACAUUGAUAAUGACUGGCAGAAGACCCCUAUUGAUUUUCAGGUCACUAGGUCAAAGGUCACAGUGACUCUAAAUAGUAAAAUGGUUUCCGGAUGAUAACUCAAGAAUGCUUAUGCCUAGGAUCAUGAAUCUUCAUAGGCACAUUGAUCAUGACUGGCAGAUGACCCCUAUUGAUUUUCAGGUCACUAGGUCAAAGGUUAAGGUCACAGUGACUCGAAACAGUUAAAUGGUUUCCGGAUGAUAACUCAAGAAUGCUUAGGCCUAGAAUCAUAAAACUUCAUUGGUACAUUGAUAAUGACUGGCAGAAGACCCCUAUUGAUUUUCAGGUCACUAGGUCAAAGGUCAAGGUCACAGUGACUCUAAAUAGUAAAAUGGUUUCCGGAUGAUAACUCAAGAAUGCUUACGCCUAGGAUCAUGAAACUUCAUAGGUACAUUGAUCAUGACUCGCAGAUGACCCCUAUUAAUUUUCAGGUCACUAGGUUAAAGGUCAAGGUCACAGUGACAAAAACAUAUUUACACAAUGGCUGCGACUAAAACUGACAGCCCAUAUGGAGGGCAUGCAUGUUUUACAAACAGCCCUUGUUAAAGAAAAGUUUCAGCAGUCAACCUUUGAUAACUCUUUUAAAGUAAUGUGUGAGCUCCCAGACAGUCUAUGACAGUACCAAAGACAGUUUGUGUGCUCCCAGGCAAUCUAUGAUGGUGCCAAAUACAGUCUGUUAAAAAUCAUUCUUAUGCAUAAUUGGUUUUAGUUUAUUUCUGUGUUAUAAUUGUCCCCUACCGGUUUGACAGGAGGAGACUUAUGGUUUGCACUCCGUAUGUCAGUCCGUCCGUCCGUCACACUUUUCUGGAUCCUGCGAUAACUAUCAAAGUUUUUCUUAAUAUUUUUUCAUGAAACUUGAAACAUGGAUAGAUGGCAAUAUGGACAUUAUGCACGUCAUUUCAUUUUGUUCCUACGUAAAAAAUUCUGGUCACUAUGGCAACAAAUAGACUAGAAAUACUGCUGAAAAUGGUGGUUUCUGGAUCCUGCGAUAACCACAAAAAUUGCGGUUGCUAUGGCAACAACAAAAAAAAAUUCUGAAAAUUGUGAAAUUUCUGACAAUGGUGGAGCCGGUAGGGGACAAUAUUGCUUGACAACAGCCUUGUUACUAAAUUAUACUAUAAACCAACUUAACAUUUUUAGCUCACCUGAGCACAAUGAAUGUGCUCAUGGUAAGCUUUUGUGAUCGCCUUUUGUACGUCAUGCGUUGUGCGCCAUUAACAUUUGCAUUGUUUACACUCUUGAGUCCACAUUUAUUGUCUAAUCUUUAUGAGAUUUGGUCAGAAGAUUUGUGCUAAUGAUAUCUUGGACAAGUUCAAAAAUUGUUCCGGUUGGUUGAAAAAUAUGGCCGCCAGGGGACGGGGCAUUUUUCGCUAUAAGACUAUUAAAACCUUGUUAACACUCUAGAGGCCACAUUUGUUGUCCAAUUAUCAUGAAACUUAGAAGAUUUGUCGCAAUUUUAUCUUGGACGAGAACGAAAAGGGUUUUGGUUGGUUGGAAAACAUGGCCGCCUGGGGCAGGGCAUUUUUCCUUAUAUGGCUAUAGUAAAAACUUGUUAACUUUCUACAAAUAACAUUAAUUGUCAAAUCUUCAUGAAACGUGGUCAGAACAUGUGUUCUAAUAAAAAAUGGUUCUGAUCCUUUGAUAAACAUAGCCUCCAGGCUGUUGAGGGUUUACCAAUGCUUUGGUCUGUUUGAUAUACUGCUGUUAACAAAUAUUAUGGAACCUGCUGUGACGGACCAUCCUAGACUGUUUAUAUGAACGUUCGUCUAUCUUCAUCGUCUGACAAUCAAUAGAUCCUGUCGACAUUGAAUGCAUUUAUUAACUGUGACACAGAAUAUAGACGUAAGGCAAAUAUCGUCAUGGGUUUGACCGCAGGAGUUUGAAAUUCUAUCCAUAAAGCUAAUCUAAUGGCUAAAUAAUAAUAAAAUAGACCCUAUAUAGUAUAUAGACUCUUUUUACCAUAUAGGGAACUUUUUAUAGCGCGACUAUUAUAUAUGAAAUCCUACUCAACCCGGCGUGAGCGUGCAAAAGUGUGUGUACCACCACAAAUAUUUCCUAUGUCCCUUGACAUAUUGCUUUCAGAUUUUGAAAAUUUCUUUACAAACAUGACCCCACUCUCUAAACAAGAGCAGACAACUGUAUCAAGCAUGUUGUAAGAAUUAUGGCCCUUUUAUGUAUUUGUAACUGAAUAUUUUGUUAAAUUUUGUGUUUAGAUCCACUUCACUUCUAAAGUAUCAAAGCUAUUGCUUUCAAACUUCAAAUAUUUUUUUAUUAUCAUGAGGGUACAGUACCUGCCAAAUUCAAUUUGACCUUGACCUUUGAAUGACCUUGAUUCUCAAGGUCAAAAGAAUAAAUUUUAGUUAAAUUGCCAUAACUUCUUCAUGUUUUAAUAUGUUUUGAAAGUAUCAUUGCCUUAUCAAUGUUAUCCAAUGUCUUCAACGAUGCAUAGAUUAAACAAAAGAUGGUGAUUUUUUGGACGACAAAGAACAUAAAUUCUUCAAGAAGGGUUAAAAUUGACCAAACUCGAAUUAUGCUAACAUUUAGUGGUUCUCCACUUGACUAUUGCAAAUUUAUCAAGAACUUCGAGACAAAUGUAGAGUGCAAAGUAAGUGACAUUAUACUUAAAUUAAGAUACAAUAUUGUACAGAUGAAGCCAGGUCAUGCAUAGAAGAUUAGGUUUUGUUAGACUAAACUGUAGCUAGGGUACUUGUAGAGUCUGUACUUGGUCGGAAAGCGUCCAGGUCUCGCAACCUGUAUAGUAGGAUGGAGACUAUCAGAGACUUGCAGAGUCUGUACUUGGUGGUGAAGCGUCCAGCAGGUUUCGCAGCCAUAGAGUAGGAUGAAGACUAUCAGAGACUUGCAGAGUCUGUACUUGGUGGGGAAGCGUCCCGCCGGUCUCGCAUCCGUAGAGUAGGAUGAAGACUAUCACAGACUUGUAGAGUCUGUACUUGGUGGGGAAGCGUCCAGGUCUCGCAACCGUAUAGUAGGAUGGAGACUAUCAGAGACUUGUAGAGUCUGUACUUUGUGGUGAAGCGUCCAGCAGGUUUCGCAGCCAUAGAGUAGGAUGAAGACUAUCAGAGACUUGCAGAGUCUGUACUUGGUGGGGAAGCGUCCCGCCGGUCUCGCAUCCGUAGAGUAGGAUGAAGACUAUCACAGACUUGUAGAGUCUGUACUUGGUGGGGAAGCGUCCAGCAGGUUUCGCAGCCGUAGAGUAGGAUGGAGACUAUCAGAGACUUGUAGAGUCUGUACUUGGUGGGGAAGCGUCAAGCAGGUUUCGCAGCCGUAUAGUAGGAUGGUGAGUUUUAGAGGUCUUUGUCAAAAUUUAUUUCUAAACGAUUUGCCCAAAGCGUAGAGAUCACAUGC